UGGGGAAUCUUGCGCAAUGGGCGAAAGCCUGACGCAGCAACGCCGCGUGGGGGAUGAAGGCCCUCGGGUUGUAAACCCCUUUCAGCAGGAACGAAAAUGACGGUACCUGCAGAAGAAGGCCCGGCCAACUACGUGCCAGCAGCCGCGGUAACACGUAGGGGCCAAGCGUUGUCCGGAUUUAUUGGGCGUAAAGAGCUCGUAGGCGGUUGGGUAAGUCGGGUGUGAAAACUCCAGGCUCAACUUGGAGACGCCACCCGAUACUGCUCUGACUUGAGUUCGGUAGGGGAGUGGGGAAUUCCUGGUGUAGCGGUGAAAUGCGCAGAUAUCAGGAGGAACACCGGUGGCGAAGGCGCCACUCUGGGCCGAAACUGACGCUGAGGAGCGAAAGCGUGGGUAGCAAACA
This 403-nucleotide ribosomal RNA is filed under the name uncultured bacterium. Its description in RNAcentral is "bacterial SSU rRNA". It matches the Rfam family "Bacterial small subunit ribosomal RNA", at positions 355 to 774 of the family's 1533-position model. The record is from RNAcentral.